RNAcentral lists this ribosomal RNA (497 nucleotides) under uncultured bacterium. Its description in RNAcentral is "partial 16S ribosomal RNA". It matches the Rfam family "Bacterial small subunit ribosomal RNA", at positions 28 to 507 of the family's 1533-position model. The record is from RNAcentral.
GAUGAACGCUGGCGGCGUGCCUAAUACAUGCAAGUCGAGCGAACAGACGACGAGCUUUCUCCUCGGACGUUAGCGGCGGACGGGGGAGGAACACGUGGAUAACCUACCUAUAAGACUUGGAUAACUUCGGGAAACCGGAGCUAAUACCGGAUAAUAUAUUGAACCUCAUGGUUCAAUAGUGAAGGACGGUUUUGCUGUCACUGAUAGAUGGGUCCGCGCCGCAUUAGCUAGUUGGUAAGGUAACGGCUUACCAAGGCGGCGAUGAGUAGCCGACCUGAGAGGGUGAUCGGCCACAAUGGAACUGAGAAACGGCCCAGAAUACUACGGGAGGAAGCAGUAGGGAAUAUUACGCAACGGGGGACAGACUGCCGGAGCAACGCCGCGUGAGUGAUGAUGGUCUUCGGCUCGUAAAAAUCUGUUAUCAGGGAAGAAGCAAUGUGUAAGUAACUAUGCACGUCUUGACGGUACCUAAUCAGAAAGCCACGGCUAACUACGUG